AACGCACAUUGCGCCCCUCGGUAUUCCGUGAGGCAUGCCUGUUCGAGCGUCAUUUACACCCUCAAGCCCUGCUUGGUGUUGGGCGUCUGUCCGCGCUUCGCGCGCGGACUCGCCCUAAAGUCAUUGGCAGCGGUCAUGCCGGCUUCUAGCGCAGCACAUUUGCGCUUCCAGAAGCCCUGGCGGGCCCGCGUCCAGCAAGAUUCUUUCGACUUGACCUCGGAUCAGGUAGGGAUACCCGCUGAACUUAA
RNAcentral lists this unclassified non-coding RNA (248 nucleotides) under uncultured fungus. Its description in RNAcentral is "partial contains 5.8S ribosomal RNA, internal transcribed spacer 2, and large subunit ribosomal RNA". The record is from RNAcentral. Lineage: Eukaryota; Fungi.